Long non-coding RNA from Stegostoma tigrinum, 457 nucleotides. RefSeq lists it as uncharacterized. The transcript is spliced from 4 exons. Lineage: Eukaryota; Metazoa; Chordata; Chondrichthyes; Orectolobiformes; Stegostomatidae. The record is from RefSeq and is a predicted model, not a curated record.
GGAGAUACUGAGCAAAAUAUCUUCGAGUAAUGACAGUUGCGGUGCUAGAUGCAAUGCACAGAUUCCUGGAAGUGGACCAUGUUCAGACUCUUAUGGCAGUUUGUAUCAUCUACAUAUCCCCCAGAUAUGCUUGUAAAUUGUGGAGGACAAUACAUGGGGCUGACAAUUAUCUUUUGUCUCGCUAUCACUGAGAAAAUAACUUGGGAAAAUGUGUGGAACGUGGAUCAGAAUUCAAUCUAUUUGCCAACUCAGCCUCUUUUCCAGUAAUGAGUUGGCUACCACCCAAAGCCAGUCCCUAGUGGUUAAUUUCAAUGAGGAACCCAGAUGUUGGAUCUACUUGACCAGGAGGAGCACAGCGGAUGAACCUGUUCUAUAUGGUGAACUUGGCUGCUUCCUGCACAGGUCCUUUUGAUAGUGAAUUCUGGCCAAUCCUUGAAAAGUUUAGGUGUUUGUUUUG